GGAUACAGCCACUGACAGCCCAAAAGCAGCCCAGGGAGCAGCUGGCGUGUCCUGGUGAUGGUGGCACGGGCUGCGUGCAGAGGGGCUCAGACAGCAAUUCCUGGUUCCAGCCUCCCAGAGCUCCCAGGCAGCUGCCAGCUAUUAAAUGCCAACCGACAGCCUGCAGAGAUGCCUUCAAAUCAAAGGUUCAGGUGGGAUGAAGUUUUGUUUGGACAAUGGUGGGAGUUUCCAGGGAGCCAGCUGGAAGUGCAGAAGGGAUGGAAAGCUUUCCCAGGUGCUGGACUUGCCUCUGUGGAUGUGUGCUGAGCUCUCACUACAG
This is a long non-coding RNA of Oenanthe melanoleuca, 319 nucleotides long. RefSeq lists it as uncharacterized. The record is from RefSeq and is a predicted model, not a curated record. Lineage: Eukaryota; Metazoa; Chordata; Aves; Passeriformes; Muscicapidae. The transcript has 3 exons.